Molecule: long non-coding RNA, 792 nt
Organism: Corapipo altera (White-ruffed manakin)
Lineage: Eukaryota; Metazoa; Chordata; Aves; Passeriformes; Pipridae
Exons: 3
Source: RefSeq, a predicted model, not a curated record
GACUGACACACCAACUGACUGACCAACUGACAGAUCGACCCACAGACUGCCAGACCUGACUGCCUGACAGACCAACUGAUCAACCAUCUGAUGGACAGACUGAUCAACAGACCAACUAACCACCCGACUGACCGACCGACUGACUGACCAACCACUGCCCCCGCCACAGGCACAGCCCAGGCAGUAGCCACCAGCUGUUGGACACUGGCCAUCACCACCAACCACCGUCCAUUGACCACCAGCCAUCACCACUGACCAUCAGCCACCAGCCAUUGGCCACGGCCAUAAGCCACCGGCUGUCCCCACUGGCCACCAGUCCCAAGACAGAGUGUGGCCACCACUUUGCACACACAGUCCUUCCACCAACUUCCAGGGCAGUCAAGAGAACUGCCCACUGUGGUAUGAAACAGCAGGUGCACUUGCAGGAGCAAGCUGUUGCCAGCCCGCCCUGCACCGGGCCAGACUCUGGUUUGCUGACGCUGUAAAUCCGUGCAGUUGCCGUGUGGGUCCGUGACACGCUCCUUGGACUGACCUCUCCUCUUCACCGUGGCAGUUCCCGGGGCUGGGCUGUGCAAGAGCCGGUGCCGCCGCCCUCGCAGCGCAUGGCCAAGUUUGAGCCAUCAGCCCCUUUGUGGCACGAACAAAGUCGGGGCUGUGGAUAACAAAACCCAGCACAUCUCGAAGGCAACAAACCCCGAGCUGCCCCACACCACCGAGCUGGCCACGGACCAAACUACAACAACGAAGUGGAUUUGAUUUCAAGCAGCAAAUAGAUCCUAAGGAAAUACUCAA